CCCUUAGAUGUUCUGGGCCGCACGCGUGCUACACUGACCGGCGCAACAAGUUUCUUUCCUUGGCUCGAUAGGCCUGGGUAAUCUUUGAACGCCGGUCGUGAUGGGGAUAGAUCCUUGCAAUUUUUGAUCUUCAACGAGGAAUUCCUAGUAAAUGCGAGUCAUCAUCUCGCGUUGAUUACGUCCCUGCCCUUUGUACACACCGCCCGUCGCACCUACCGAUUGAAUGGUCCGGUGAAAAUUUCGGAUACCGGCAUUGCUGGCGGUUCGCCGCCGGCGACGCUGGUAGAAGAUCUUUAAACCUUAUCAUUUAGAGGAAGGAGAAGUCGUAACA
This 331-nucleotide ribosomal RNA is filed under the name uncultured eukaryote. Its description in RNAcentral is "partial 18S ribosomal RNA". It matches the Rfam family "Eukaryotic small subunit ribosomal RNA", at positions 1470 to 1796 of the family's 1831-position model. The record is from RNAcentral.